Non-coding RNA from Lepisosteus oculatus (spotted gar), 1633 nucleotides. The record is from RefSeq and is a predicted model, not a curated record. Lineage: Eukaryota; Metazoa; Chordata; Actinopteri; Semionotiformes; Lepisosteidae.
AUCACAUUUUUUAAUAUCCACUAUUCAAAACCGACAAUAUUUCAAACUGUGAGAACCAUACUUUAAUAAUAUGAGGAACACAUGACAGGAAGUGCCCAGAGUGCUUUGCAGUGUCUGCUGCAGCAGGGAGUGAAGGAACAGGGCAGCUCCAGGUCCCCUUAGUGCUGCUCAGACUCCAGCCUGUCCCAGGACUUCCUCAGUUGACCCUGUCCUUCUGUCCACAGGUUCCCCAACCUGGGAAACAGCUGCUACAUGAACGCUGCCCUGCAGUGUCUCUCUGGCCUACCGUCCUUCUCCAACUACAUCCUGAAGGAGGGACAGCUGGGACACGAUGCCCCAGACUCGGCUGCUUAGGUCGUUUGCUCACCUGCUUGCAGGGAGGAACCAGAGCAGCCUGAGUCAGAAGGAGGAGCAGCUGAGAUGCAUUAAAACAUUCAUCUCAGCUGCUUAUGAGGAGUUCAGUGGAAACAGGCAACAAGUGAGAGCUGCGAAACUAAGACAUUUAUCACUCUGUCACAUAUAUUAGACAUUGAAACACACCUGAAGAAUCCACAGAAUGUAUUUCACUACUAAAACCUCAAAAAAUAUCCACAGAAUUAAACUGAUCUAAAUGCUUCCUGAUUCUAGUUUCAGGCAAGGCUUUGAAGAAAACACAGUGCUCUACUGGGCAGUGCUGUUGUGCAGCUGGUGGCUCCAGUGUGAUCUGGAUUUAGCUCACUUCCAACAGAUAUUCUGGCCAGAUUAACCAGUCUGUGUAAUUUGCCUGUGGGGGCAAUUCGUCUCCCAAACCCCUUUUAUACUGUUAGGCUUCACCAACAUUGGAUCCUGUAGUGGAGGGCUGGCACACACAGUUGAUGAACACACGACAGGAAAGACCUCUGUCUGCUCAGGAUGCUCAUGAGUUCCUGAGCCACUGCCUGUCUCGGCUGAAGGAGGAGGGACAGGGGCUGAAUCUGUCCUGGCCCCGACGGCUGCUCAGGGCCCAGGGCGCCUAGCCAGACGGGGGUGAAAAUCGUCCAUUUUACACCUGUCCUGUGGUGGCAAAUUUUGAGUUUCAGCCACAGCAUAAACACACCUGCAUGGUGUCAGGUCAGUUUCUCAGGAAAAGAGCUACAAGUCAGUCUUAGUAAUUAGAGUUGAUUUUGGCCUUGAAAGGAAAUUGGAAGUGUUUAGAAUAAUGGCUGGUCACACGUCUGCCUCUCUGUUCUCUGAAUGCUGUGGAACUCAAGCCACCAGGACAGAGGAGGUCCAAUGUCUCUGGACCUCCUCCCACUGGGCUCCAUACAGGACUGCCUGGACCUCUACUUCAAAGUCAGUCUCGACGCUCGACGGGACGAACACAGGGCUUUCUAACAUGUGCCUCAUGAGGCAGGCAUCAUGGUUUAGGGGCAGGAGAACAUGGGUUUUGUAUUGGAGAGAGAUGAAAUAAGAUUGAUUCAGCACAAGUGAAGUUCACUGUAUCUUCAUAGAAUAUGUGCGUGGAAACUGAUAAAGCCUCAGGCUGUUAUGUUGCAUUUUUAUCUUACAUCCUGAUUUGUACCAAGAUUUAAAAUUGUUUUCUUCUUAAGACUAUUUCUUAAAUAUAAACUCAGUAACUGUUUAUAUGGCUUAAACACAAUACAAAGUAAGUUUU